This 551-nucleotide ribosomal RNA is filed under the name uncultured Paraglomus. RNAcentral describes it as "SSU rRNA". It matches the Rfam family "Eukaryotic small subunit ribosomal RNA", at positions 548 to 1103 of the family's 1831-position model. Lineage: Eukaryota; Fungi; Glomeromycota; Glomeromycetes; Paraglomerales; Paraglomeraceae. The record is from RNAcentral.
UUGGAGGGCAAGUCUGGUGCCAGCAGCCGCGGUAAUUCCAGCUCCAAUAGCGUAUAUUAAAGUUGUUGCAGUUAAAAAGCUCGUAGUUGAAUUUCAGGCCUGGCUGGACGGUCCGCCCUUCGGGUGAGUACUGUCUGUGGUCGGGUCCUACCUUCUGGCGAAGCGUCAUGGCCUUAACCGGCCGUGGCGGGGAACCAGGACUUUUACUGUGAAAAAAUUAGAGUGUUCAAAGCAGGCAAUCGCUUGGAUACAUUAGCAUGGAAUAAUGGAAUAGGACAAUGGUUCUAUUUGUUGGUUUCUAGGACCGUUGUAAUGAUUAAUAGGGAUAGUUGGGGGCAUUAGUAUUCAAUUGUCAGAGGUGAAAUUCUUGGAUUUAUUGAAGACUAACUACUGCGAAAGCAUUUGCCAAGGAUGUUUUCAUUAAUCAAGAACGAAAGUUAGGGGAUCGAAGACGAUCAGAUACCGUCGUAGUCUUAACCAUAAACUAUGCCGACUAGGAAUCGGGCGAUGUUGAAAAAAUGACGCGCUCGGCACCUUAUGGGAAACCAAAG